This 429-nucleotide ribosomal RNA is filed under the name Chytridiomycota sp. RNAcentral describes it as "SSU rRNA". It matches the Rfam family "Eukaryotic small subunit ribosomal RNA", at positions 1341 to 1791 of the family's 1831-position model. Lineage: Eukaryota; Fungi; Chytridiomycota. The record is from RNAcentral.
CCUUAGUCUGCUAAAUAGUCGGGCUCACUUUGGUGGGUUUCGGCUUCUUAGAGAGACUUCUUACGCAUAGUGAGAGGAAGUUUGAGGCAAUAACAGGUCUGUGAUGCCCUUAGAUGUUCUGGGCCGCACGCGCGCUACAAUGAUGGAGGCAGCAAGUAUUCACCUUGGCCGGAAGGUCUGGGUAAUCUUCUGAAUCUUUAUCGUGUUGGGGAUCGUCCCUUGUAAUUCUUGGACGUGAACGAGGAAUUCCUAGUAGGUGCAAGUCAUCAGCUUGCGCCGAUUACGUCCCUGCCCUUUGUACACACCGCCCGUCGCUACUACCGAUUGAAUGGCUUAGUGAGACAUCCGGAUCGACGAUCUUUGGGCCGCAAGGCCUGAUGGUUGUUGAGAAGUUUUUCAAACUUGGUCAUUUAGAGGAAGUAAAAGUCG